RNAcentral lists this unclassified non-coding RNA (540 nucleotides) under Alternaria sp. YEP731. RNAcentral describes it as "sequence contains ITS1, 5.8S rRNA gene and ITS2". The record is from RNAcentral. Lineage: Eukaryota; Fungi; Ascomycota; Dothideomycetes; Pleosporales; Pleosporaceae.
UUCCUCCGCUUAUUGAUAUGCUUAAGUUCAGCGGGUAUCCCUACCUGAUCCGAGGUCAAAAGUUGAAAAAAAGGCUUAGUGGAUGCUAGACCUUUGCUGAUAGAGAGUGCGACUUGUGCUGCGCUCCGAAACCAGUAGGCCGGCUGCCAAUUACUUUAAGGCGAGUCUCCAGCAAAGCUAGAGACAAGACGCCCAACACCAAGCAAAGCUUGAGGGUACAAAUGACGCUCGAACAGGCAUGCCCUUUGGAAUACCAAAGGGCGCAAUGUGCGUUCAAAGAUUCGAUGAUUCACUGAAUUCUGCAAUUCACACUACUUAUCGCAUUUCGCUGCGUUCUUCAUCGAUGCCAGAACCAAGAGAUCCGUUGUUGAAAGUUGUAAUUAUUAAUUUGUUACUGACGCUGAUUGCAAUUACAAAAGGUUUAUGUUUGUCCUAGUGGUGGGCGAACCCACCAAGGAAACAAGAAGUACGCAAAAGACAAGGGUGAAUAAUUCAGCAAGGCUGUAACCCCGAGAGGUUCCAGCCCGCCUUCAUAUUUGU